UAAACCUCUGAAACUAUAAGCCAGCCCCAAUUAAUGUUCUCCUUUAUAAGAGUUGCCAUGGUCAUGAUGUCUCUUUAUAGCAAACCCUAACAAAGAUAGGUAGGUAUCAAGGCAGAGGAGGGAGACCUGGGAGGAAUUGAGGAGAGGGAAGAAUAUAAUAAAAUAUAUCAAAUUCUCAAAAAAAGAAAUAAAGAAAGAAAAGAAAAACAAAGAAUUCCUGAGGGAACAGAAUGUAUUUCAUUGCUACAGCCACCUGCAAGUUUGUAUAGAGGCCUCAAAAAACAAACAAACAAACAAAUAAAUAAAUAUUAAAAAUCCUGCUUUUAUACCAAGAAACACAUUUUGAACCUCAACUUUUCUGGGCUGACAGGCAAGAGUAAACAGGUGCCAACUGCGUUAACUAACCUUCAUUGGCUAGACCCUGGCAUAUGCCACACUUACUCUGUAGCCAGCAUUGAUGGGGGAAAUGACUACAAGUUCUUUUGCAUAUGUGUUUUGUGUCACCUCAGUGGGAUGGCUUACACCACCAUAUAGCUUAAUGGCUGUGAAAUACUGGAAAUGAAAAGGCAGAGCGUAAGAGAAAAUACAAAUAAAAACAGCAGCAGUGGUCAAAGGUAGAGGUAAUUUGUGUUGUGAGCAAUGGAGAAAAGGCACCCCCAGAAAAGACAGACUAGGAAUCUGACUCCAGUCAUGGUCUGUAUAAGCCCAGUAGGCUACUGAAGACCUCAAGAGCCCAUGGAAUUACCAAAGUCCAAGGCAUGGCUAAUUUACCUUAUAAGUCAGAAUACUGGGCUAAACUUAAGAAUAAGAACACAUGUGCCUAACCUUUUUAAAGCUUCCUUUGGUUGUCUGAGCAGAGAAUCCAAUGUAGGUAGAUUUUAUUUUUCAUUCACUGAACAGGCACCUAACAACCACAGACUCACCCCUGCCCCACCCAAAAUUCAAUCCCAUUCCUAAUUAGGCUUUUCUAGAAGGAGCCGCAGAAGAGUCAGAAGAAAGUCAUGACCCAUGUCUGAGACUCAGCCACUGGAAAGGGCAGGAGGUGCGGGACAAGUCCUGGCAAAUUUGCCACAUGCCAGGAACUGAGGCCUGACUGAGCCUGUGCGAGCUCAGAAACUGUCACCUGGAGUUCAAUGCUGGGAAACAGACCAGGAAGAUCCUUUCAGAAUAUCCAUCCCUGGUCUGUGUCAUAGCAGCAAGGGCCAAAGUGCACAGGAGAAACCCCAGUGUUUACAGCGCAGAACACUGGGUAGGUAGCUCAGAGCCCUGGUAAGCGAUGCCCUCUCCCAUCCUUCCCUUCCCUGCUUUCCAGCUUCCUGCUCCCUCCCCCACUUAGUGGCCCACAGUCUGUUCCAGAGGGGACACAGGGAAGAUGUGACCUCAUUCUGGAUCAGAGAAAGCAGAAGAAUACAAGCUGAUAGGGUCACUACUAAGAUGCUAAGGUCGUCAACUUAUAAACCCGUUCCUAAAACUAUGGGUAGUUGAAUGUUUUCCUCAGAAUUACCUCAUCGUUGACUGUGGUGUAUAAAACUUCAUUGCCAGCACUACCGAAGACACAGGCCUGACGAAUCAACUGCAGCUCUUCCUCAGAACAAAGAGAAAAGAUUGGCCACUUCCCCACAUCCAACAUCUUCAGUGAUGACAGGGUAGCCUGGACUGGCUGAAAGGAACAAGAAUUAUGUACUGAGACCACCAAUUAAACAAACAAACAAAAACAUUCUUGGACUCUUAUUUCUGCAGAGUAGAGUUAAACUGGCUUGAGGAGGAAUAACCCACAUCUGGUGGCGUCCAUCGCUGAGAGCCGCUCACCUGCUGCACAACUGCUCAUAGCUCGCUCUCCCACACUGCUCCCAGACCGGGUGCUGGUGGCCUGGGCAAAAGCAGAUCUCAGAGACACCCAGCUCAUCCAAGUCUGGACCUUGGCUGGCUCAAUGAUAGCAACACAUUAAACGUAGCUGUAGAAACAGGCUGGCUAAGCAAGCACAGGCUGGAGGAAGGAGGGUGACUGCUACAUUUGCUGUUCCUAGGCAUGGUUACUCUAGCAAACAGAUGUAGGUCUCUGGGGGUGGGGAAGAUGGGAGAGUGGCCAACAGUCUAACUCAUGCAUUCUGGCUAACAGUAUAAUUCUCAUGUCUUCUAGGUUGUCCCUCGGGGAGACCUGACCUUCCCUUCAUUCAAGGGGUUCUGGUCUGUAAACUGGCUCAAGUCUGAAAACUGACUGAUGGGCCAUGAAUCCCCAUUACUACAAUCAAAUGCAGCAUUCUUCCCUUUGUUCUAGAGUCUUGUGCAUGUACAGAUUAAGUGAAAGCCCAUGUUAAUCCAUCUCAUCCCAGGAAACGCCAUUACUGAUUUGUCCGUCUCAAAGGUCCAAGGCGAGUUGUGCCAUCGCGACAUUCACUUUCCCUAUGCUGCCGUCAUGGGCCAGGCCACUGUGAACAUGGCUUUGCCUAGGGUGCCCAUUCGGAUGAUAAGCAUGCUCAUCUUGCCUUUGGUGACUCUUUGCUUUGCUACCUCCUGGCCCCUGCUGCUCUGGGUACCAAUUAGUCCAUCACAUUUAAUUCAUCCAAAUGAGCAGCAGCAUCUCCCACUCUAAGGGAAGGGUGACAACACAGCCUUUGAACAUCCCUCUCACCAUUGUGCAUCUUAUAGUAUUAGUGAAGGGCACGACUUCUGGGCAUGCACACUGUGGAGGACUAGGCCUUAAGCAACGAAUUUAGGUCCAUUCUCAGUAGACUUUUCCCCAAAUAGUUCAACUAACCAAUCAAAUAGUCUCUUGGUAGCCACCCCCCUUUUUUUUAUACCUGUGCAAGGUUCAUAGUGACAAACUCAGAUUGACUCAAUUUCGUGUCCUCCUACCAUUAUCCCACGCUAAGCCCAUUACCACACACUCUCCAGACUUCUGCACGAAUAAAUUAGCAAUCCAUUAGGUUCUCCUGGUGCAGUGCACCUCCUCAUGGGCCACACAUUCUGCUUCCUAAACACUCACUGGGAGGUGACAGCUAGUAGUUACUCAGUCCCCAAGGUGUGGACUCCGUAGUCCCAGACACUGGGAGCACUAAAAGUUCCUGGAGAACCAGUGGUCCCCAGCCCACGAGGGAAGCUUGGAAACGCAGGCUCUACUCUCAGGGAAGGAACCAGCAG
Non-coding RNA from Myodes glareolus (Bank vole), 3141 nucleotides. Lineage: Eukaryota; Metazoa; Chordata; Mammalia; Rodentia; Cricetidae. The record is from RefSeq and is a predicted model, not a curated record.